AUCAAUGGUAUGUAACAAACAAACAAUGUACAAUACAGUUAAGACAUACUUAAUAUGCGAUUCGAGCAGUGUCACAAAGAGUCGCAUGUAAUACUUGCAUCCAAUGAACAAUAACAAAUUUAGUAAUAUACAAUACAAUGCAUGUCACAGUAAUGUAUAUAAUCAACCUGAAUAAAGGCAACCCAUCCAACAAUCACAUAUGAUGAUUUUGCAUUCAGGCAAUCCCAAAAAGGCCUUUU
Molecule: long non-coding RNA, 239 nt
Filed under: Gossypium barbadense (sea-island cotton)
Lineage: Eukaryota; Viridiplantae; Streptophyta; Magnoliopsida; Malvales; Malvaceae
Description: long non-coding RNA (GBAR_LNC013644)
Source: RNAcentral